GACGAACGCUGGCGGCGUGCUUAACACAUGCAAGUCGAACGGAAAGGCCCUGCUUUUGUGGGGUGCUCGAGUGGCGAACGGGUGAGUAGCACGUGAGUAACCUGCCCUUGACUUUGGGAUAACUUCAGGAAACUGGGGCUAAUACCGGAUAGGAGCUCCUGCUGCAUGGUGGGGGUUGGAAAGUUUCGGCGGUUGGGGAUGGACUCGCGGCUUAUCAGCUUGUUGGUGGGGUAGUGGCUUACCAAGGCUUUGACGGGUAGCCGGCCUGAGAGGGUGACCGGCCACAUUGGGACUGAGAGACGGCCCAGACUCCUACGGGAGGCAGCAGUGGGGAAUAUUGCACAGUGGGCGGAAGCCUGAUGCAGCAACGCCGCGUGCGGGAUGACGGCCUUCGGGUUGUAAACCGCUUUCGCCUGUGACGAAGCGUGAGUGACGGUAAUGGGUAAAGAAGCACCGGCUAACUACGUG
This 468-nucleotide ribosomal RNA is filed under the name uncultured bacterium. RNAcentral's name for it is "partial 16S ribosomal RNA". It matches the Rfam family "Bacterial small subunit ribosomal RNA", at positions 28 to 507 of the family's 1533-position model. The record is from RNAcentral.